Molecule: ribosomal RNA, 498 nt
Filed under: uncultured bacterium
Lineage: Bacteria
Description: bacterial SSU rRNA
Rfam family: Bacterial small subunit ribosomal RNA
Source: RNAcentral
ACGCGAAAGCCCCCUUCGGGGGGCAAGUAGAGUGGCGCACGGGUGAGUAACACGUAGGUAAUCUACCUUUGGAUUGGGAAUAACCACCGGAAACGGUGGCUAAUACCGAAUAAUGCAGCGGCACCUAAUGGUGACAGUUGUUAAAGCGGGGGAUCGCAAGACCUCGCGUCUGAAGAGGAGCCUGCGGCGGAUUAGCUUGUUGGUAAGGUAACGGCUUACCAAGGCGAUGAUCCGUAGCCGGCCUGAGAGGGCGGUCGGCCACACUGACACUGACAUACGGGUCAGACUCCUACGGGAGGCAGCAGUCGGGAAUUUUGGGCAAUGGGCGAAAGCCUGACCCAGCAACGCCGCGUGAAGGAUGAAAUCCCUCGGGAUGGAAACUUCGCAAGAACGGGAAGAAUAAGUAGGGGACAAUACCCUCUACGAUGACGGUACUGUUUGUAAGCUCCGGCUAACUCCGUGCCAGCAGCCGCGGUAAUACGGGGGGAGCAAGCGUUG